UUAAGUUAUUAAGGGCGCACGGUGGAUGCCUUGGCACUAGAAGCCGAUGAAGGACGUUACUAACGACGAUAUGCUUUGGGGAGCUGUAAGUAAGCUUUGAUCCAGAGAUUUCCGAAUGGGGAAACCCAGCAUGAGUUAUGUCAUGUUAUCGAUAUGUGAAUACAUAGCAUAUCAGAAGGCACACCCGGAGAACUGAAACAUCUUAGUACCCGGAGGAAGAGAAAGAAAAUUCGAUUCCCUUAGUAGCGGCGAGCGAAACGGGAAGAGCCCAAACCAACAAGCUUGCUUGUUGGGGUUGUAGGACACUCUAUACGGAGUUACAAAGGACGACAUUAGACGAAUCAUCUGGAAAGAUGAAUCAAAGAAGGUAAUAAUCCUGUAGUCGAAAAUGUUGUCUCUCUUGAGUGGAUCCUGAGUACGACGGAGCACGUGAAAUUCCGUCGGAAUCUGGGAGGACCAUCUCCUAAGGCUAAAUACUCUCUAGUGACCGAUAGUGAACCAGUACCGUGAGGGAAAGGUGAAAAGCACCCCGGAAGGGGAGUGAAAUAGAACCUGAAACCGUGUGCUUACAAGUAGUCAGAGCCCGUUAAUGGGUGAUGGCGUGCCUUUUGUAGAAUGAACCGGCGAGUUACGAUUUGAUGCAAGGUUAAGCAGUAAAUGUGGAGCCGUAGCGAAAGCGAGUCUGAAUAGGGCGUUUAGUAUUUGGUCGUAGACCCGAAACCAGGUGAUCUACCCUUGGUCAGGUUGAAGUUCAGGUAACACUGAAUGGAGGACCGAACCGACUUACGUUGAAAAGUGAGCGGAUGAACUGAGGGUAGCGGAGAAAUUCCAAUCGAACCUGGAGAUAGCUGGUUCUCUCCGAAAUAGCUUUAGGGCUAGCCUCAAGUGAUGAUUAUUGGAGGUAGAGCACUGUUUGGACGAGGGGCCCCUCUCGGGUUACCGAAUUCAGACAAACUCCGAAUGCCAAUUAAUUUAACUUGGGAGUCAGAACAUGGGUGAUAAGGUCCGUGUUCGAAAGGGAAACAGCCCAGACCACCAGCUAAGGUCCCAAAAUAUAUGUUAAGUGGAAAAGGAUGUGGCGUUGCCCAGACAACUAGGAUGUUGGCUUAGAAGCAGCCAUCAUUUAAAGAGUGCGUAAUAGCUCACUAGUCGAGUGACACUGCGCCGAAAAUGUACCGGGGCUAAACAUAUUACCGAAGCUGUGGAUUGUCCUUUGGACAAUGGUAGGAGAGCGUUCUAAGGGCGUUGAAGCAUGAUCGUAAGGACAUGUGGAGCGCUUAGAAGUGAGAAUGCCGGUGUGAGUAGCGAAAGACGGGUGAGAAUCCCGUCCACCGAUUGACUAAGGUUUCCAGAGGAAGGCUCGUCCGCUCUGGGUUAGUCGGGUCCUAAGCUGAGGCCGACAGGCGUAGGCGAUGGAUAACAGGUUGAUAUUCCUGUACCACCUAUAAUCGUUUUAAUCGAUGGGGGGACGCAGUAGGAUAGGCGAAGCGUGCGAUUGGAUUGCACGUCUAAGCAGUAAGGCUGAGUAUUAGGCAAAUCCGGUACUCAUUAAGGCUGAGCUGUGAUGGGGAGAAGACAUUGUGUCUUCGAGUCGUUGAUUUCACACUGCCGAGAAAAGCCUCUAGAUAGAAAAUAGGUGCCCGUACCGCAAACCGACACAGGUAGUCAAGAUGAGAAUUCUAAGGUGAGCGAGCGAACUCUCGUUAAGGAACUCGGCAAAAUGACCCCGUAACUUCGGGAGAAGGGGUGCUCUUUAGGGUUAACGCCCAGAAGAGCCGCAGUGAAUAGGCCCAAGCGACUGUUUAUCAAAAACACAGGUCUCUGCUAAACCGUAAGGUGAUGUAUAGGGGCUGACGCCUGCCCGGUGCUGGAAGGUUAAGANGAGUGGUUAGCUUCUGCGAAGCUACGAAUCGAAGCCCCAGUAAACGGCGGCCGUAACUAUAACGGUCCUAAGGUAGCGAAAUUCCUUGUCGGGUAAGUUCCGACCCGCACGAAAGGCGUAACGAUUUGGGCACUGUCUCAACGAGAGACUCGGUGAAAUCAUAGUACCUGUGAAGAUGCAGGUUACCCGCGACAGGACGGAAAGACCCCGUGGAGCUUUACUGUAGCCUGAUAUUGAAAUUCGGCACAGCUUGUACAGGAUAGGUAGGAGCCUUUGAAACGUGAGCGCUAGCUUACGUGGAGGCGCUGGUGGGAUACUACCCUAGCUGUGUUGGCUUUCUAACCCGCACCACUUAUCGUGGUGGGAGACAGUGUCAGGCGGGCAGUUUGACUGGGGCGGUCGCCUCCUAAAAGGUAACGGAGGCGCUCAAAGGUUCCCUCAGAAUGGUUGGAAAUCAUUCAUAGAGUGUAAAGGCAUAAGGGAGCUUGACUGCGAGACCUACAAGUCGAGCAGGGUCGAAAGACGGACUUAGUGAUCCGGUGGUUCCGCAUGGAAGGGCCAUCGCUCAACGGAUAAAAGCUACCCCGGGGAUAACAGGCUUAUCUCCCCCAAGAGUUCACAUCGACGGGGAGGUUUGGCACCUCGAUGUCGGCUCAUCGCAUCCUGGGGCUGUAGUCGGUCCCAAGGGUUGGGCUGUUCGCCCAUUAAAGCGGUACGCGAGCUGGGUUCAGAACGUCGUGAGACAGUUCGGUCCCUAUCCGUCGUGGGCGUAGGAAAUUUGAGAGGAGCUGUCCUUAGUACGAGAGGACCGGGAUGGACAUACCUCUGGUGUACCAGUUGUCGUGCCAACGGCAUAGCUGGGUAGCUAUGUGUGGACGGGAUAAGUGCUGAAAGCAUCUAAGCAUGAAGCCCCCCUCAAGAUGAGAUUUCCCAACUUCGGUUAUAAGAUCCCUCAAAGAUGAUGAGGUUAAUAGGUUCGAGGUGGAAGCAUGGUGACAUGUGGAGCUGACGAAUACUAAUCGAUCGAAGACUUAAUCAA
RNAcentral lists this ribosomal RNA (2921 nucleotides) under Staphylococcus aureus. RNAcentral's name for it is "23S ribosomal RNA". It matches the Rfam family "Bacterial large subunit ribosomal RNA". The record is from RNAcentral. Lineage: Bacteria; Bacillati; Bacillota; Bacilli; Caryophanales; Staphylococcaceae.